AUUAAUCUAAAUUAGAGGAGAGGAGAGGGCAAUAACAGUUUAUUUUAUUUACAAGUAUAUUUUCCGUUUCGUUAAAAAAAUUACGAACGGCGAAAACAGAUAUGGCGACGGCAUCGGAGAGCGCAAGAGGAGGUGACAAAACGGCGAAGGCAGUCGUUGCCGAUCAGAUAUCGCAGGCUGUUAAUUCUACUGCUAACCUUCUCCAUCUGAUGCGUCAAUCGUCUUCUGCUCAGGCCCAGUUGGCAAAGCUCCCAAAGAAUCUUUUGGCCAAAGCUUCUUUAACUAAGGCCACUGGACAAUCGUUGGCGCAGCUUCCUCAAGUGAUUUCAUCUCUGGAUGCCCAUAUAGAAAGCGGCUUGAACAGUGGGGUUCACUUAAACACAGUAACCCAGUUACUUGAAAACAUGGAAAGCACGCAGCUUCGUGCUCUUCGACAAUCUAACUUAUCCCCUGUGGUGGACAACAAUCAAUCUCCAGAGCAGAGUUGAACAUUUCAGACAAAUGUUUCCUCAGUAGUAGUACAUAUGUUCAUCUCCAAUAAAUUUCUUCAUAAGAUGUGCACUUUUCCGUGUUGUCGAUGGCCAAUAUUGAUGAUGUGAACCAGUCUACUUGUAUAGCGGGCCAAAAGGAACCCACAAACGAAUAGUCUUCUGUUUAAUCCCAAGUGGCAUGAAAACUGCUCAGAAACAAGUGGGCAUUAAAGAAUCAGACAAGCAAUGAGAUUAUUUAGAAUUUGUGUUUGGACUCUUCUCGCUAGUCGACACGUCCUCCUGUUCAGCCUGCUUUGCACACUCAACUACAGGUUAUAUUAUAUCCGAAUUGCCGUCAAUUGAAAGAGAGACUUACAUAUAAAGACACAUUAUGAAUUUUCUUUUCUCUUAAAGACACAUUGUUUGUUUGGCACACUUUGUGUGGACAGGUGUUUUUUCAGGACAUAAAUGCCCUUGGUUUUGUGUAAGUAGAAAAAUGUUCUUUUCAAGAAACCAACAGCAAAGCUAACUAAAUUUUCGUGUGGUUGCAAUAAAUGCAACAUUUAUUAUUAAAAAGGUUGGUAUAUAGAUUUAUGUGAAUUGUGUUAAUUUGGCCAUCGGUUCCGUUUCGAAAAAAAAGAUUUAAUGGUGGUUGUGAAGUUCUGGGUUUGAAGUUUUGUUAAUUUAGUUUAAGAGUUUUAACAUUUAUCUGAUAGAUCUUUCUUCUGGUUUCUAAACAAAAAGUAUAUGAGGAAAAUAUAUUUGUACACUACAGAAAGAAACAUCAACGUUUGCAAAAUGCAGAAACUAUCAUCUUAUAUGAAUCUCGUUAUUUACCAGAGUAUAAAAAACACAUAUAGGAUCUUUACUGUUAUCCAUAUCUCAUCUGACCAUUUCGCACUUGACCCCAAGUCUCAUGACCACAACGACCACAUCCACAUAACUGUCGUCCACACCAAUCACACCCACACAUCCUUUGUCCACAUUACGAGAGCUCGAUGUAAUGUUGUCCUCUCCACACCAAAACUCGGACCUGCUCACCAUCGUUGUCCCUACCUCUCGUCCAGCUUCUUCCUCCCUCUCCCAAAACAUAUAAAUCUUGUAAAUAACCAGAGCAUGGAAGAUACAUGUGGAAUCUUCACUGUUAUCCAUAUCUCAUUUGACCACCUCUUAUCUAGCCACUUCGCACUUGAUUCCAAGUCUCAUGUCCACAAUGACCACAUCCAUACAGCUGCCGUCCACACCGAUCACAUCCACACAUCCUCUGUCUGCAUCACGAGAGCUCGAUGUCGUCGUCCUCUCCACAUUGGAGAUCGGACCUGCUCACCAUCGUUGUCCCUACCUCUCGUCCAGCUUCUUCCUCCCUCUCCCAAGACAUAUGAAUCUCGUAAAUAACCAGAGCAUAGAAGACACAUGUGGAAUCUUCACUGUUAUCCAUAUCUCAUCUGACCACCUCUUAUCUGACCACUUCGCACUUGAUUCCAAGUCUCAUGUCCACAAUGACCACAUCCAUACAACUUUCGUCCACAUCCACACAUCCUCUGUCUGCAUCACGAGAGCUCGAUGUCGUCGUCCUCUCCACAUUGAAGGUCGGACCUGCUCACCAUCGUCUUCCCUACUUCUCCUCCAGCUUCUUCCUCCCUCUCCCAAGACACUCGCCACUGAAACUGCGGCGUCAACGACGUAAAUCCUUGUCGUGUCCUUUUUCGAUUCUUCUCAGAAUCUCGCUUCUCGUACGCGCCACUGAAGCGAUGACAGAGGUGGUGCAGAGCUUCAUCAGUGUCCAUCUCCAUCACAGAGAUCCGUCAUCAUCCAUAUCCAUGGCAAAGUUGAUAUCUUUUAUCACGAAAGAACACGGCGGUGAACACGACUCUCUCAGAAAGUGACAGAGAAGACAACGGUGCUUUGGUUCAAUUGUACUUAUCCAAGAUGAUAGAUGAAUAUGAAAGAUUGUUUUUAGGAUUAGGUUAAGAGAAAGGGGAUCUGGAGAUUUUGAGUUAUCGAUGCAAAAUAUAUAAAAAAUUAAUGUUUUUAUAAUUCAUUAUUUAUUCAAACACGUUGAUAUCUAGUUCAAGGACAAAUUGGACAAAGUGACUUGGGAAAGUGUCUUCCAAACCCAAAGUGUCUAAAUUGGUAAUUGGAAACACAAAAUAUGUCCUUGAAGGUAAACUUUUC
This is an RNA transcript of Brassica napus (rape), 2645 nucleotides long. It is a transcript of the gene named tobamovirus multiplication protein 2B, with no coding region annotated. The transcript has 6 exons. NCBI's taxonomy places the organism in Eukaryota, Viridiplantae, Streptophyta, Magnoliopsida, Brassicales, Brassicaceae. The record is from RefSeq and is a predicted model, not a curated record.